Molecule: long non-coding RNA, 2267 nt
Filed under: Cairina moschata (Muscovy duck)
Lineage: Eukaryota; Metazoa; Chordata; Aves; Anseriformes; Anatidae
Description: domestica (muscovy Duck (domestic type)) lncRNA (ENSCMMG00000000126.1)
Source: RNAcentral
GAGGUGUUUUAAAUUUGUUUGUUUCUCACUGCUCUAGCUUUUUAGUAAUUGGUAAUAAAUUACAUUAAUCUCCCUAUGCUGGGUGUGUUCUGCCUGUGACGAUCCCCUUGCCAGUUAACGACGGGGAUUUUGUUGGACCAGCAAGGGAGCUCCAGGACAGAAGCUGCUUCCAUGUGCUGCACAGCACAUCCAUAAAGAGCGGAGGGCAGAAGCCACUGGUGAGGAGAGCCAACCGCCAUCCUGGUGGCACCAAAGGGUUCGCUGCAAGUGUGCUCGGCCCCACCAGCCUCAUCAGGCCCCGGCUACCACCAGGCCACCAGCCCCCAGGGACAGGAGCCGCCGCCUGCCUCUUCACCCCACUGGGCCCCGCUGGUCCCACGGGAAGCGUCCCUGUGCUGCUCAGCCUCCGACUGUCACUCUGCCUUUGGCCGCUAUUAUCAGCAGUAAGCCGGGGCAGUCCCCGGCCUGGCAGGGCUGCUGAUCUCUAUCGCUCAGGCUAUAAGCUGCCCCUGCCAUGAACCUGACUGCACGGGGGGGCAGGCGGCCUGAUACAGUUUGGUUUCUUUUCUUAUUUUCCUACCCUUUCUCCAGCGCUCAGUCUUUUGUGUCAGCUUUCAGAACUGCUCUGUUUGACUGGCAGCCUGUCACAGAUCAGUUACCACCUAAAGCCGCUUGGCAGGGAGAGGUGACGGCCCAGGAAGGGAUCUAAGUGGGUUUAUCAGUGCUUCUUUACGCCUCGUGAGCUCCUUGACACAAAAGGAAAGGGUAUUAAAGAUCUAAAGCGAGCCCAAAAGCGUGAAAGCUCCUUAUAGGCUGCAAGAUGUGGAUGUGACUAAAUUUUUAAAUAUUUUGAGUUGAUGCUAUUCAUUUUGCCAAUAGAGUAGAAAGAAUUUUUGUUACAGAAAUGAGUGUAUGUUCCACUUGAGUGAGAUUUGGAAAAGGGAGGAAGUCCCUAAAUAUGUGCUUAGAAUAUUACAACUACCCUGUAUUUACAAUCCUGCAUCUGUUUUGAAUAUAUAUAAAAUCUGACAUAUUUCUUUAAAAAAAAAAUAAAUUGCACAAUCACUUAGCACAUACAGUAUUCAAUUUCCUGCUACUAUUGCUGAAUUCAUUUAGGGGCUUUAUGUUUAUUUGUUUGUUUAAGUUUAAACGUUAUAAUUUAUUAAGAAGGGUUGGCAAUUUUAAAAUCCUAUAAAUGGUAAGCAUGGAAAAGGUCCAGAAUUCAUUAGGUAUAUGCCAUAUCUCCUUUCAAGCUCUUUUAUGCAUGGAUUAUUGUUAAAGUAGUGUAUUUUUAGCAUGCCAAUGGCUUCUCACAGCACAUUACUACAACCAUAAUGGUUACACUAUAGGCAGCAGAGCACAAAGGCUUUUCCUUUGUUCCUAAUUUACCAGAUCUCAAACUCUUUUAUUGUCUGAUUUAAAUUAAAACACAAACAUUUCUAUGGGAGACAACGUCAGCAAGGUGUAUGAUUUAGGGGUGAUGAAAUAUAGAAAAAGCCAACCUACACAUCAGUGGUCAAAAUGGACAGAUUUUUCUAUCAUUUACUUUAGGGAACUUAUACAAAUAUCUAAAUCUCACAUAAUUAGUGGGUCAUAUUCCAGCCAUGGUGAAUGUCAGUGAGAGUUAUACAGGGAUCAAUAAUUGUUAUGUUCGAGAUUACUUUUUAUUUUCAUUUACUCAAAAAAAAAAUUAAAAAAAAAAAUCUGAAUUCUGUAUAUUUUUCAUAUAUUUACCUGAUUCAUUUUGAAAGAGAGUUUUUAAAGUGUUUGGGAUCAUAAUAACAUGCAUGUUUUGGUUGUUUUUUCCUUUCUUUUUUUUUUUUUUUUUUUCAAAUACAAAAGAGUAAGUCUCAAUCUGUCUUCUCUCGAUUAUGUAUAGUCACCCAACUUGUUUUUCAUGUCAUUAUAGCCCCUCCUAGCCUUCACAUCUGCUGUCUACCAUUUUCAUUGCUUAUAAGCAGCAGGUGAAUGGCCCAAACGAAAGAUUUAACAAGCCCUCAGUGGAGCUGCUGCCCUGAAAUUUCACUCCCCUACACAAUGCUUUUUCCCUCUCUUUGUCUGAAGCAAAAAGGGGUUUUCUCAGACAAUUGGCUUGACUGUUGGAUAAUAUUGUCAUCCCAUAGAAAGUUCUGCAAGUGGCUACUGAGCAGGAUGAAGUGAGUACUGUUAAAAUAUUUUCAUGGUAUUUCCUCAAAUUUGUAAGGCAGACCACUUAAAUCAUCCUCCCACCACUUUCCUGUUAGAAAUCUGAAGCAACUUGAGGAAUU